UAGGGUUGUGACAGAGAGAAGAUUGGUUGGCCAUCGACAAGAGGUUUGUGGCUUGAAGUGGUCUCCAGACAACCAGAGCCUGGCCUCUGGUGGCAACGACAAUCGCCUCCAUGUUUGGAAUCUGCAUUCGCUUUCACCUGUCCAGACUUACACUGAGCAUUUGGCAGCAGUGAAAGCUAUUGCAUGGUCCCCGCAUCAUCAUGGACUCUUGGCUAGUGGUGGAGCUACAGCUGAUCGAUAUAUUCGUUUCUGGAACACACUCACAGGCCAACCAAUGCAUUGUGUAGACACUGAAUCUCGUCUGUAAUCUUACCUGGUCAAAACAUUCCUCUGAAUUGGGAGGCAACUGCCUGUCUGGAAAUGCAUCUGACAGAAACCUGAUAAUACAGCCCACAAAUAAUGCAGAGCAAUGGACAAUAAUAAUCUAGUGUCCGAGGGAACCAAAGAGUUCUGAGAUGAGUGUGUGCCAGUGUCAUUUUGCCCACCAUAAAUCCAACAUGGACUUCCUUGAGUGUCAACCCAGGCUCCCACAUUGAGAACCUGGCAACUAACCACCAGAGCUGUGACACGACCCAAGCAGCUGUGGACUUUGUCUAAGGUCAGUUGAUGAAUACAGCCUGCCAUGAUGGAAUUUUGUUUUGGGGAAUAAAUUCAAGGUUGGCAAAUAUGACCGAGAUGUAUCUUAAUCUGUAAAUGUAAUAUUUUUAACAUCAUACAAUUUUGUUCAUUGCUGUAUAUUGUGAGAGACAAGCAAAAUUACACUUGCCAACAUAUAAUCCAUUUCAUAAAACACUUUUUGGUAGAGCCUAAAAAUGGUUAAAUUUGGACGAAGCCUAUAGUUAUUUAUCUAAUAAGUAGCUUGUUAUUUUCUUGUCUAUUUUUUAAGGAUAAGCAAUAAAAUAUCACUGAUUGUGUGAGGCAGAAAUAAAAAGCACCAUUCCUUAACUUUAUAAUUUGUAAUGGAUAUAUCAGAUACAAACUCAGAAACUAAUGUAGGCCAUGUAUUAUCACUGCGUUUGGGUGCUGCUAGUGGAUUUCAUCCAGAGGAGGUGACACAAGUGAGAAACUCUGCGAUACAUAUUACAGAAGUCGCACGUAAGCAGGCAAAUUCAUAUGUACUGAAAUGUCCUUACUCCAGUGUUUAUAAGAUAAGAAAAAUGUUAUGUCUCUGGCAACAAGAUUAUAAACUUGUAUCUUCACUGUAAAACAGAGACUAGGCUUAUACAAAUUAAACAGCUAUCUCUGUUG
Molecule: non-coding RNA, 1248 nt
Organism: Zootermopsis nevadensis
Lineage: Eukaryota; Metazoa; Arthropoda; Insecta; Blattodea; Termopsidae
Source: RefSeq, a predicted model, not a curated record